GCGCUCGUGGCUCAAUUGGAUAGAGCAUCUGACUACGGAUCAGAAGGUUGGGGGUUCGACUCCCUCCGGGCGUG
Molecule: transfer RNA, 74 nt
Filed under: Actinomycetota bacterium
Lineage: Bacteria; Bacillati; Actinomycetota
Description: Actinobacteria bacterium tRNA-Arg
Rfam family: tRNA
About the family: Transfer RNA (tRNA) molecules are approximately 80 nucleotides in length. Their secondary structure includes four short double-helical elements and three loops (D, anti-codon, and T loops).
Source: RNAcentral